ACGGAGACAUGGCGUGAAGCCAGAGAGUGAGACAUUAACUCAUUAGACUGGAACUUGAAAUGAUUCACAUCUCAUUUU
This is a non-coding RNA of Papio anubis (olive baboon), 78 nucleotides long. Lineage: Eukaryota; Metazoa; Chordata; Mammalia; Primates; Cercopithecidae. The record is from Rfam.